RNAcentral lists this ribosomal RNA (445 nucleotides) under uncultured bacterium. Its description in RNAcentral is "bacterial SSU rRNA". It matches the Rfam family "Bacterial small subunit ribosomal RNA", at positions 331 to 793 of the family's 1533-position model. The record is from RNAcentral.
CCAGACUCCUACGGGAGGCAGCAGUGGGGAAUAUUGCACAAUGGGGGGAACCCUGAUGCAGCGACGCCGCGUGAGUGAAGAAGUAUCUCGGUACGUAAAGCUCUAUCAGCAGGGAAGAAAAUGACGGUACCUGACUAAGAAGCCCCGGCUAACUACGUGCCAGCAGCCGCGGUAAUACGUAGGGGGCGAGCGUUAUCCGGAAUUACUGGGUGUAAAGGGAGCGUAGACGGCGAGGUAAGCCUGAAGUGGAAGCCCGCGGCCCAACCGCGGAACUGCUUUGGGAACUGUUUUGCUGGAGUAUGGGAGGGGUAAGCGGAAUUCCUGGUGUAGCGGUGAAAUGCGUAGAUAUACGGAGGAACACCAGUGGCGAAGGCGGAUUGCUGGACAGUAACUGACGCUGAGGCGCGAAAGCGUGGGGAGCAAACAGGAUUAGAUACCCCUGUAC